This 89-nucleotide transfer RNA is filed under the name Lentisphaerae bacterium ADurb.BinA184. Its description in RNAcentral is "tRNA-Lys". Lineage: Bacteria; Pseudomonadati; Lentisphaerota. The record is from RNAcentral.
GGUGCCGCUGGACCUGGGGGUCUACGGCAGUUUUCAUGCCGGGAGCUGCGACCUGGAAGCGUCCGCCGGUCCGGACCUGGACGGCGACU